RNAcentral lists this ribosomal RNA (1515 nucleotides) under Lacticaseibacillus paracasei. Its description in RNAcentral is "bacterial SSU rRNA". It matches the Rfam family "Bacterial small subunit ribosomal RNA". Lineage: Bacteria; Bacillati; Bacillota; Bacilli; Lactobacillales; Lactobacillaceae. The record is from RNAcentral.
GAUGAACGCUGGCGGCGUGCCUAAUACAUGCAAGUCGAACGAGUUCUCGUUGAUGAUCGGUGCUUGCACCGAGAUUCAACAUGGAACGAGUGGCGGACGGGUGAGUAACACGUGGGUAACCUGCCCUUAAGUGGGGGAUAACAUUUGGAAACAGAUGCUAAUACCGCAUAGAUCCAAGAACCGCAUGGUUCUUGGCUGAAAGAUGGCGUAAGCUAUCGCUUUUGGAUGGACCCGCGGCGUAUUAGCUAGUUGGUGAGGUAAUGGCUCACCAAGGCGAUGAUACGUAGCCGAACUGAGAGGUUGAUCGGCCACAUUGGGACUGAGACACGGCCCAAACUCCUACGGGAGGCAGCAGUAGGGAAUCUUCCACAAUGGACGCAAGUCUGAUGGAGCAACGCCGCGUGAGUGAAGAAGGCUUUCGGGUCGUAAAACUCUGUUGUUGGAGAAGAAUGGUCGGCAGAGUAACUGUUGUCGGCGUGACGGUAUCCAACCAGAAAGCCACGGCUAACUACGUGCCAGCAGCCGCGGUAAUACGUAAGUGGCAAGCGUUAUCCGGAUUUAUUGGGCGUAAAGCGAGCGCAGGCGGUUUUUUAAGUCUGAUGUGAAAGCCCUCGGCUUAACCGAGGAAGCGCAUCGGAAACUGGGAAACUUGAGUGCAGAAGAGGACAGUGGAACUCCAUGUGUAGCGGUGAAAUGCGUAGAUAUAUGGAAGAACACCAGUGGCGAAGGCGGCUGUCUGGUCUGUAACUGACGCUGAGGCUCGAAAGCAUGGGUAGCGAACAGGAUUAGAUACCCUGGUAGUCCAUGCCGUAAACGAUGAAUGCUAGGUGUUGGAGGGUUUCCGCCCUUCAGUGCCGCAGCUAACGCAUUAAGCAUUCCGCCUGGGGAGUACGACCGCAAGGUUGAAACUCAAAGGAAUUGACGGGGGCCCGCACAAGCGGUGGAGCAUGUGGUUUAAUUCGAAGCAACGCGAAGAACCUUACCAGGUCUUGACAUCUUUUGAUCACCUGAGAGAUCAGGCUUCCCCUUCGGGGGCAAAAUGACAGGUGGUGCAUGGUUGUCGUCAGCUCGUGUCGUGAGAUGUUGGGUUAAGUCCCGCAACGAGCGCAACCCUUAUGACUAGUUGCCAGCAUUUAGUUGGGCACUCUAGUAAGACUGCCGGUGACAAACCGGAGGAAGGUGGGGAUGACGUCAAAUCAUCAUGCCCCUUAUGACCUGGGCUACACACGUGCUACAAUGGAUGGUACAACGAGUUGCGAGACCGCGAGGUCAAGCUAAUCUCUUAAAGCCAUUCUCAGUUCGGACUGUAGGCUGCAACUCGCCUACACGAAGUCGGAAUCGCUAGUAAUCGCGGAUCAGCACGCCGCGGUGAAUACGUUCCCGGGCCUUGUACACACCGCCCGUCACACCAUGAGAGUUUGUAACACCCGAAGCCGGUGGCGUAACCCUUUUAGGGAGCGAGCCGUCUAAGGUGGGACAAAUGAUUAGGGUGAAGUCGUAACAAGGUAGCCGUAG